RNAcentral lists this unclassified non-coding RNA (242 nucleotides) under Glomus sp. RNAcentral's name for it is "partial internal transcribed spacer 2". The stretch from base 1 to 65 matches the Rfam family "5.8S ribosomal RNA", at positions 84 to 154 of the family's 154-position model. The record is from RNAcentral. Lineage: Eukaryota; Fungi; Glomeromycota; Glomeromycetes; Glomerales; Glomeraceae.
GUGAAUCAUCGAAUUUUUGAACGCAAAUUGUACUUUCCUCGGAGAGUAUGCCUGUUUGAGUGUGAGCCUAUAAAAAAUCGACAUCGAAGCUGUUUCGCGGUGGCGUUCGUCGGAAAUGGGGUCAUCUUAAAUCCUUUUGGUUAUUAAGCGACUUAAAAUUUUAUUUUUGGUUCCAUGAACGUUUCUAAGAUAUAAUUCCUUAAACGUUUAAGGUAUCGAUUUUUAAUAGACGUGACCAUCAU